CCUACGGGUGGCAGCAGUGGGGAAUAUUGCACAAUGGGGGAAACCCUGAUGCAGCAACGCCGCGUGAGCGAUGAAGGCCUUCGGGUCGUAAAGCUCUGUCCUAAGGGAAGAAUACUGACGGUACCUUAGGAGGAAGCCCCGACUAACUACGUGCCAGCAGCCGCGGUAAUACGUAGGGGGCUAGCGUUAUCCGGAAUUACUGGGCGUAAAGGGUGCGUAGGCGGCCCUUCAAGUCAGAGGUGAAGGGCUACGGCUCAACCGUAGUAAGCCUUUGAAACUGUAGGGCUUGAGUGCAGGAGAGGGGAGUGGAAUUCCCAGUGUAGGGGUGAAAUGGGUAGAUAUUGGGAGGAACACCAGUUGCGAAGGGGGCUCUCUGGAGUGUAACUGACGCGGGGGCACGAAAGCGUGGGGAGGGAAAAGGAUUAGAUACCCGGGUAGUC
Molecule: ribosomal RNA, 440 nt
Filed under: uncultured bacterium
Lineage: Bacteria
Description: bacterial SSU rRNA
Rfam family: Bacterial small subunit ribosomal RNA
Source: RNAcentral